This 305-nucleotide ribosomal RNA is filed under the name uncultured bacterium. Its description in RNAcentral is "partial 16S ribosomal RNA". It matches the Rfam family "Bacterial small subunit ribosomal RNA", at positions 508 to 807 of the family's 1533-position model. The record is from RNAcentral.
ACAGCAGCCGCCGCGGGAAUACAGAGGGUGCAAGCGUUAAUCGGAAUUACUGGGCGUAAAGCGCGCGUAGGUGGUUCGCCAAGUUGGAUGUGAAAUCCCCGGGCUCAACCUGGGAACUGCAUCCAAAACUGGCGAGCUAGAGUAUGGUAGAGGGUGGUGGAAUUUCCUGUGUAGCGGUGAAAUGCGUAGAUAUAGGAAGGAACAUCAGUGGCGAAGGCGACCACCUGGACUGAUACUGACACUGAGGUGCGAAAGCGUGGGGAGCAAACAGGAUUAGAUACCCGUGUAGUCCCUGUCUCUUAUAC